GCGGGAGAAGAGUUCUUUAUGACAGCGACAAUGGGGACAGAGGAACGGUGACUGGAAGAUUCUUUCCUUGCAGUGAACGCACGUACUGUGGGUGCUGUGCCUUCCUCGGGGUGUAUGUACGUAGGCAGGCACACACCAGUCAGCUUGCAUUCUGUGGGUGAUACUCUCUGAGGUGGACUGGGUCACCUGGGAGCUUCCGGGGUCCGUGGACGGGGACCACUGAUGAACGGGUGGUGCAGGAGCUGUAGGAAGUAACUUUCAAGCAGUCACCGUGAUGAAAGCUCCCUUCUGCUCUCGGGUCCUGCCGUGGAGGAACAAGGCCAGGUGGGUGCAGGUCAGGGGAGG
Molecule: long non-coding RNA, 345 nt
Filed under: Pan troglodytes (chimpanzee)
Lineage: Eukaryota; Metazoa; Chordata; Mammalia; Primates; Hominidae
Description: long non-coding RNA NONPTRT006450
Source: RNAcentral